AUUGAACGCUGGCGGCAUGCCUUACACAUGCAAGUCGAACGGCAGCACGGGAGCUUGCUCCUGGUGGCGAGUGGCGAACGGGUGAGUAAUACAUCGGAACGUACCCUGAAGUGGGGGAUAACGUAGCGAAAGUUACGCUAAUACCGCAUAUUCUGUGAGCAGGAACGAGGGGGAUCGCAAGACCUCUUGCUUUAGGAGCGGCCGAUGUCGGAUUAGCUAGUUGGUGAGGUAAAGGCUCACCAAGGCGACGAUCCGUAGCGGGUCUGAGAGGAUGAUCCGCCACACUGGGACUGAGACACGGCCCAGACUCCUACGGGAGGCAGCAGUGGGGAAUUUUGGACAAUGGGCGCAAGCCUGAUCCAGCCAUGCCGCGUGAGUGAAGAAGGCCUUC
RNAcentral lists this ribosomal RNA (391 nucleotides) under uncultured bacterium. RNAcentral describes it as "bacterial SSU rRNA". It matches the Rfam family "Bacterial small subunit ribosomal RNA", at positions 30 to 419 of the family's 1533-position model. The record is from RNAcentral.